GGAAACGUAUGCUAAUACCGAAUAUGCUCUACGGAGUAAAGGUGCCCUCUCCUUGGAAGGUAUCGCUAUAGGAUGAGCCCGCGUGAGAUUAGUUAGUUGGUAAGGUAAUGGCUUACCAAGGCGACGAUCUCUAGCUGGUUUGAGAGGAUGAUCAGCCACACUGGGACUGAGACACGGCCCAGACUCCUACGGGAGGCAGCAGUGGGGAAUAUUGCACAAUGAGCGAAAGCUUGAUGCAGCCAUACCGCGUGUGUGAAGAAGGCCCGAGGGUUGUAAAGCACUUUCAAUUGUGAGGAAGAUAGUGUCGUUAAUAUCGGCAUUGUUUGACGUUAACUUUAGAAGAAGCACCGGCUAACUCUGUGCCAGCAGCCGCGGUAAUACAGAGGGUGCAAGCGUUAUUCGGAAUUACUGGGCGUAAAGCGCGCGUAGGCGGAUUAUUAAGUCAGUUGUGAAAGCCCUGGGCUCAACCUGGGAACUGCAUCUGAUACUGGUAGUCUAAAAUUUAAGAGAGGGAAGUGGAAUUCCAGGUGUAGCAGUGAAAUGCGUAGAUAUCUGGAGGAACAUCAGUGGCGAAGGCGACUUCCUGGCUUAAAACUGACGCUGAAGUGCGAAAGCGUGGGUAGCGAACGGGAUUAGAUA
Molecule: ribosomal RNA, 639 nt
Filed under: Thiomicrospira sp. Tms-MPN/Milos-CIII3
Lineage: Bacteria; Pseudomonadati; Pseudomonadota; Gammaproteobacteria; Thiotrichales; Piscirickettsiaceae
Description: bacterial SSU rRNA
Rfam family: Bacterial small subunit ribosomal RNA
Source: RNAcentral